CGGCGCACGGGUGAGUAACGCGUAUCCAACCUUCCGUACACUCAGGGAUAGCCUUUCGAAAGAAAGAUUAAUACCUGAUGGUAUGAUGAGAUUGCAUGAUAGCAUCAUUAAAGAUUUAUCGGUGUACGAUGGGGAUGCGUUCCAUUAGGUAGUAGGCGGGGUAACGGCCCACCUAGCCUACGAUGGAUAGGGGUUCUGAGAGGAAGGUCCCCCACAUUGGAACUGAGACACGGUCCAAACUCCUACGGGAGGCAGCAGUGAGGAAUAUUGGUCAAUGGACGAGAGUCUGAACCAGCCAAGUAGCGUGAAGGAUGAAGGUCCUACGGAUUGUAAACUUCUUUUAUAAGGGAAUAAAACCUCCCACGUGUGGGAGCUUGUAUGUACCUUAUGAAUAAGCAUCGGCUAACUCCGUGCCAGCAGCCGCGGUAAUACGGAGGAUGCGAGCGUUAUCCGGAUUUAUUGGGUUUAAAGGGAGCGCAGACGGGUCGUUAAGUCAGCUGUGAAAGUUUGGGGCUCAACCUUAAAAUUGCAGUUGAUACUGGCGUCCUUGAGUGCGGUUGAGGUGUGCGGAAUUCGUGGUAUAGCGGUGAAAUGCUUAGAUAUCACGAAGAACUCCGAUUGCGAAGGCAGCACACUAAGCCGUAACUGACGUUCAUGCUCGAAAGUGUGGGUAUCAAACAGGAUUAGAUACCCUGGUAGUCCACACGGUAAACGAUGGAUACUCGCUGUUGGCGAUAUACAGUCAGCGGCUUAGCGAA
Molecule: ribosomal RNA, 758 nt
Filed under: uncultured bacterium
Lineage: Bacteria
Description: bacterial SSU rRNA
Rfam family: Bacterial small subunit ribosomal RNA
Source: RNAcentral